GCAUAAUAAAUAGUUUUUUAAUUGAAAACUGGAAUGAAGGGUAGAAACUAAGAAGAGAGUUUUAUUUAAUAAAUUUGAAUUUAAAUUAGAAGUUAAAAUGCUUUUAUUAAUUUUUGGGACGAGAAGACCCUAGAAGCUUAAAAAUUUAAUAUUUUUUGAUUGGGGUAAUUUAUGAAGAAAUUUAUUUUUAUAUAAUUAAAGAUGGAAAUAAUAAAGUUACUCUAGGGAUAACAGCGUAAUUUAAUUAGCAAGUUCUUAUUAAUAGUUAGGUUUGCGACCUCGAUGUUGAAUUAAUA
RNAcentral lists this ribosomal RNA (296 nucleotides) under Roeweria virescens. RNAcentral describes it as "partial large subunit ribosomal RNA". Lineage: Eukaryota; Metazoa; Arthropoda; Arachnida; Opiliones; Gonyleptidae. The record is from RNAcentral.